RNAcentral lists this ribosomal RNA (410 nucleotides) under uncultured bacterium. RNAcentral describes it as "bacterial SSU rRNA". It matches the Rfam family "Bacterial small subunit ribosomal RNA", at positions 28 to 429 of the family's 1533-position model. The record is from RNAcentral.
GACGAACGCUGGCGGCGUGCUUAACACAUGCAAGUCGAGCGGUAAGGCCCUUUCGGGGGUACGACGAGCGGCGAACGGGUAGGAGUAACAACGUGGGUGGACCUCGCCUCCUAGCUCUGGGAGUAAGCCUGGGAAGGCUGGGUCGUAAUACCGGAUAUGACCUCGCGGUGCAUGUUGCGGGGUGGGAAAGCCUUGUGCGGCUAGGGAGUGGGCCCGGCGGCCUAUCAGCUUGUUGGUGGGGUGAUGGCCUACCUAGGCGACGACGGGUAGCCGGCCUGAGAGGGCGACCGGCCACACUGGGACUGAGACACGGCCCAGACUCCUACGGGAGGGCAGCAGUGGGGAAUCUUGCGCAAUGGGCGAAAGCCUGACGCAGCGACGCCGCGUGAGGGAUGACGGCCUGGUGUAAC